GACGAACGCUGGCGGCGUGCUUAACACAUGCAAGUCGAACGGAAAGGCCCUGCUUUUGUGGGGUGCUCGAGUGGCGAACGGGUGAGUAACACGUGAGUAACCUGCCCUUGACUUUGGGAUAUCUUCAGGAAACUGCGGCUAAUACAGGAUAGGAGCUCCUGCUGCAUGGUGGGGGUUGGAAAGUUUCGGCGGUUGGGGAUGGACUCGCGGGUUAUCAGCUUGUUGGUGGGGUAGUGGCUUACCAAGGCUUUGACGGAUAGCCGGCCUGAGAGGGUGACCGGCCACAUGGGGACUAAGAUAGGGACCAGACGCCUACGGGAGGCAGCGGGGGAGAGUAUUACACAAUGGGCGGAAGCCUGUGACAACGGCGCCGCGAGCGGGAUGCCGGCCUACGGGUUGUAAACCGCUGUCGCCUGUGACGUAGCUUGAUUGACGGUAAUGAGUAAAGAAGCACCGGCUAACUACGUG
Molecule: ribosomal RNA, 468 nt
Filed under: uncultured bacterium
Lineage: Bacteria
Description: partial 16S ribosomal RNA
Rfam family: Bacterial small subunit ribosomal RNA
Source: RNAcentral